Molecule: long non-coding RNA, 501 nt
Organism: Macrobrachium nipponense
Lineage: Eukaryota; Metazoa; Arthropoda; Malacostraca; Decapoda; Palaemonidae
Exons: 3
Source: RefSeq, a predicted model, not a curated record
UUUGAGGACGCCGUCGGUAUAAAUAGGAGUCCGCAAAAAGAGGCAGUCAUCAGUUGGGUUCACUUCUCUGACUCGUCACGUCAUGUUUGCCAAGCUUAUAAUGGUGGCCAUGUUGGCCCUUGUGGUGCUGGCCGUAGCCGAGGCUCAUCCUGGAUUCUUUGGAGGAGGAGGCUAUGGAGGAGGAGGCUUCGGUUAUGGUGGUGGCUAUGGUGGUUAUGGAGGAGGAGGAAGCGGUGGCGGUGGUGGUGGAUAUGGAGGUGGUGGAUCCAGACCUCCUUUCGUCCCAGUUUUGGGUUAAAUCAGGGUAGGAGUUGAAAAGCAGCAUUAGCGCCUACUGACAGGAAUACUGUAUCCAGUCAUACAGUAUUUUCGACUUGUUAGCAUUUUUGGGUACUUUGAUUAAUAUUGACCAUUUUUUCAUGUUUAGAUUCAUUUUGUGAACUUUAUGUUAUUGCAAAAUUGACUUUGUACGUGAAUGAUUAAAAAAUUUAGAAUAUAAAA